AACGAACGCUGGCGGCAGGCCUAACACAUGCAAGUCGAACGCUCCGCAAGGGGAGUGGCGCACGGGUGAGUAACACGUGGGAACCUACCUUCUGGUACGGAACAACCAAGGGAAACUCUGGCUGAUACCGUAUACGACCUCCGGGUGAAAGAUUGAUCGCCGGAAGAGGGGCCCGCGUCCGAUUAGGUAGUUGGUGAGGUAACGGCUCACCAAGCCUGCGAUCGGUAGCUGGUCUGAGAGGANGACCAGCCACACUGGGACUGAGACACGGCCCAGACUCCUACGGGAGGCAGCAGUGGGGAAUAUUGGACAAUGGGCGCAAGCCUGAUCCAGCCAUGCCGCGUGAGUGAUGAAGGCCUCGGUUGUAAG
This 369-nucleotide ribosomal RNA is filed under the name uncultured bacterium. RNAcentral describes it as "bacterial SSU rRNA". It matches the Rfam family "Bacterial small subunit ribosomal RNA", at positions 29 to 429 of the family's 1533-position model. The record is from RNAcentral.